CCCCCGGCCUCCCCUCGCCCGGCCUCCCUGCCUCCCGUCCCCGGGUCGAAGCGCUUGAGCGAGCGGCGGCGGCCGGUAGCUCCGGGACCGCGCGCCGGGGCCACGUCCGAGCUCGAGCCGCCUCCUCUCCGGCCCGCGCGGGCUGUGCUCAGGGCGGGCAAGGUUGAUCAUCUUGGCCCUGGGAGUGGAGAUUAUCUCCACAGAAAGGAGUCUUUUAUUCCAUUAAACAAUGGAUUCCUGAGUGUUCCCUGUACCCUGGGAUAUGCAUCUUUCAAGAUGAUGUGGUGCUGAGUAAAAC
This 298-nucleotide long non-coding RNA is filed under the name Chinchilla lanigera (long-tailed chinchilla). RNAcentral's name for it is "lncRNA (ENSCLAG00000025527.1)". The record is from RNAcentral. Lineage: Eukaryota; Metazoa; Chordata; Mammalia; Rodentia; Chinchillidae.